CGGAGGAUCCAAGCGUUAUCCGGAAUCAUUGGGUUUAAAGGGUCCGUAGGCGGUUUAUUAAGUCAGUGGUGAAAUCUGGUCGCUCAACGAUCAAACGGCCAUUGAUACUGAUAGACUUGAAUUAUUGGGAAGUAACUAGAAUAUGUAGUGUAGCGGUGAAAUGCUUAGAUAUUACAUGGAAUACCAAUUGCGAAGGCAGGUUACUACCAAUGGAUUGACGCUGAUGGACGAAAGCGUGGGGAGCGAACAGGAUUAGAUACCCUGGUAGUCCACGCCGUAAACGAUGGAUACUAGCUGUUCGGAGCAAUCUGAGUGGCUAAGCGAAAGUGAUAAGUAUCCCACCUGGGGAUACGUUCGCAAGAAUG
Molecule: ribosomal RNA, 365 nt
Filed under: uncultured organism
Description: bacterial SSU rRNA
Rfam family: Bacterial small subunit ribosomal RNA
Source: RNAcentral